RNAcentral lists this ribosomal RNA (301 nucleotides) under uncultured bacterium. Its description in RNAcentral is "partial 16S ribosomal RNA". It matches the Rfam family "Bacterial small subunit ribosomal RNA", at positions 509 to 807 of the family's 1533-position model. The record is from RNAcentral.
CAGCAGCCGCGGGAAUACAGAGGGUGCAAGCGUUAAUCGGAAUUACUGGGCGUAAAGCGCGCGUAGGUGGUUUGUUAAGUUGGAUGUGAAAUCCCCGGGCUCAACCUGGGAACUGCAUCCAAAACUGGCAACCUAGAGUAUGGUAGAGGGUGGUGGAAUUUCCUGUGUAGCGGUGAAAUGCGUAGAUAUAGGAAGGAACACCAGUGGCGAAGGCGACCACCUGGACUGAUACUGACACUGAGGUGCGAAAGCGUGGGGAGCAAACAGGAUUAGAUACCCGCGUAGUCCCUGUCUCUUAUAC